RNAcentral lists this unclassified non-coding RNA (401 nucleotides) under Bartonella clarridgeiae. RNAcentral describes it as "partial miscellaneous RNA". The stretch from base 54 to 127 matches the Rfam family "tRNA". The record is from RNAcentral. Lineage: Bacteria; Pseudomonadati; Pseudomonadota; Alphaproteobacteria; Hyphomicrobiales; Bartonellaceae.
AUUGUUUUCUUUGAUCAGAUUAUGCCGGUAAAGGUUUUCUGGUUUACCCUAUAGGGCUUGUAGCUCAGUUGGUUAGAGCGCGCGCUUGAUAAGCGUGAGGUCGGAGGUUCAAGUCCUCCCAGGCCCACCAGUUACACGAUGCUAAAAGUUGCUAUAUUGGGAGAGUUGAUAAUCCCUUACAGGAAAUUAUUGCCCUUAAUAAAACUUUAUUUUCUAAAAGCAUUCAGAGCUGACAUAGAAUAGAGCUGACAUAGAAUUGAGAAUCUGACAUAGGAAUUAUUGAAAUUGUUUUGGAAUUAUUGAAAUUGUUUUCUAUCAUUUUAAAAGGCUAAAAUAUUCUGUCUCUAUUUUUAAAAUAGCAUCAGGCGCUUUGUAAGAGUGUGAAGGUUUUAAGUGUGAGG